GAUGAACGCUAGCGGCAGGCUUAAUACAUGCAAGUCGAGGGGUAACAUGGUAGCAAUACUGAUGACGACCGGCAAACGGGUGCGGAACACGUACAGAACCUUCCUUUAAGCGGGGAUAGCCCAUAGGAAAUGUGGAUUAAUACCCCAUAGUAAUGUUUAAUGGCAUCAUUAGAUAUUUAAAGAUUUAUCACUUAAAGAUGGCUGUGCGGCUGAUUAGGUAGUUGGUGGGUAACGGCCACCAAGCCUUCGAUCAGUAACUGGUGUGAGAGCACGACCAAGUCACACGGGCACUGAGACACGGG
RNAcentral lists this ribosomal RNA (302 nucleotides) under uncultured bacterium. RNAcentral describes it as "bacterial SSU rRNA". It matches the Rfam family "Bacterial small subunit ribosomal RNA", at positions 28 to 330 of the family's 1533-position model. The record is from RNAcentral.